CACGUAGGGACCAAGCGUUGUCCGGAUUUAUUGGGCGUAAAGCGCUCGUAGGCGGUUUGGUAAGUCGGGUGUGAAACCUCCAGGCUCAACCUGGUGACGCCACCCGAUACUGCUAUGACUUGAGUUCGGUAGGGGAGCGGGGAAUUCCUGGUGUAGCGGUGAAAUGCGCAGAUAUCAGGAGGAACACCGGUGGCGAAGGCGCCGCUCUGGGCCGAAACUGACGCUGAGGAGCGAAAGCGUGGGGAGCGAACAGGAUUAGAAACCCGAGUAGUCC
RNAcentral lists this ribosomal RNA (274 nucleotides) under uncultured bacterium. RNAcentral describes it as "partial 16S ribosomal RNA". It matches the Rfam family "Bacterial small subunit ribosomal RNA", at positions 524 to 796 of the family's 1533-position model. The record is from RNAcentral.